UGCAGGUUGGUACCUGUGGCCGGAGAGGCCGUUACUGCACCCUCUGCAUAUUCUGUGCCGUGGGAUAAAUGGCAUUAAGCUUCAUCGCACACGAGACCCCCAGACUCUAACGUCCGGUGCCAAAAAAUGGAGGUAAAAGGCUCCAGCGGGAUCUCCACUCCAGG
This is a long non-coding RNA of Spea bombifrons (plains spadefoot toad), 164 nucleotides long. RefSeq lists it as uncharacterized. The transcript has 3 exons. The record is from RefSeq and is a predicted model, not a curated record. NCBI's taxonomy places the organism in Eukaryota, Metazoa, Chordata, Amphibia, Anura, Pelobatidae.